GUGAGUGUGUAAGAGCGCAUGGUGGAUGCCUUGGCAUCAGGAGCCGAUGAAGGACGUGGAAAUCUGCGAUAAGCCUCGGGGAGCCGAUAAACGGGCUGUGAUCCGAGGAUGUCCGAAUGGGGGAACCCCGCCGCAUGCGAGUGCGGUGACCCGCACCUGAAUAUAUAGGGUGUGUGGAGGGAACGCGGGGAAGUGAAACAUCUCAGUACCCGUAGGAAGAGAAAAUAAGAAUGAUUCCGGGAGUAGUGGCGAGCGAAACUGGAUGAGCCUAAACCGUGUGCGUGUCAAGCGUGCUGGUGUUGCGUACAUGGUGUUGUGGGGUGUGUGUGUUCGGUUCAGCAUGACCGAGACGCUGAUGAGUGCUUACGUGUAGUCGAAGCUGGUGGGAAACAGUACCGGAGUGGGUGAGAGUCCCGUAGACGAAACGCGUGGCCCCGGUGUGACACGUGUCCCCGAGUAGCACGGAACUCGUGGAAUUCCGUGUGAAUCUGCCAGGACCACCUGGUAAGGCUAAAUACUUCCUGAUGACCGAUAGCGGAUCAGUACCGUGAGGGAAUGGUGAAAAGUACCCCGGGAGGGGAGUGAAAGAGUACCUGAAACCAUGUGCUUACAAUCCGUCAGAGCACCCGUGUUGGUGUGAUGGCGUGCCUUUUGAAGAAUGAGCCUGCGAGUUAGCGGUGCGUGGCGAGGUUAACCCGUGUGGGGUAGCCGUAGCGAAAGCGAGUCCGAAUAGGGCGGUCCAGUCGCGUGUCCUAGACCCGAAGCGGAGUGAUCUAGCCAUGGGCAGGGUGAAGCAGCAGUAAGAUGUUGUGGAGGCCCGCACCCACUUCAGUUGAAAAUGGAGGGGAUGACCUGUGGUUAGGGGUGAAAGGCCAAUCAAACUCUGUGAUAGCUGGUUCUCCCCGAAAUGCAUUUAGGUGCAGCGUUGCGUGGUUCUUGCCGGAGGUAGAGCUACUGGAUGGCUGAUGGGCCCCACCGGGUUACUGACGUCAACUAAACUCCGAAUGCCGGUAAGGUUCAGCGUGGCAGUGAGACAGUGGGGGAUAAGCUUCAUUGUCGAGAGGGAAACAGCCCAGACCAUCAACUAAGGCCCCUAAGCGUGUGCUGAGUGGGAAAGGAUGUUCAGUUGCGAAGACAACCAGGAGGUUGGCUUAGAAGCAGCCACCCUUGAAAGAGUGCGUAAUAGCUCACUGGUCAAGUGAUUGAGCGCCGAUAAUGUAGCGGGGCUAAGUACACCGCCGAAGUUGUGGCAGCAUCACGAUACUGUAAUGGUGUGGUGUUGGGUAGGGGAGCGUCGUGUCGCCAGUGAAGUCGCCGUGUGAACGAGUGGUGGAGGCGUCACGAGUGAGAAUGCAGGCAUGAGUAGCGAAAGACGGGUGAGAAACCCGUCCACCGGAUGACCAAGGGUUCCAGGGCUAGGCUAAUCCGCCCUGGGUAAGUCGGGACCUAAGGCGAGGCCGACAGGCGUAGUCGAUGGACAACCAGUUGAUAUUCUGGUACCGACACACAACCGACAAUACCAAAACACAUGAGACUAACUCCCCGGUCCACCCGUGGCGUCUUCGGAUGUCUGGUUGGUGGUCUGGUGAGGACCUGAGUGUGGAGUCGGUAAGCGUGAGGUGUGACGCAGAAAGGUAGCCAGGCCACGCGAUGGUAGUCGUGGUCUAAGGUCGUAGCAUGUGGGGGUAGGCAAAUCCGUCCCCACGCAUAGUGUGAGAGCUGAUGGGCGCCCCACAGUGGUGGGGUGAUCUGGUGAUCCUCUGCUGCCGAGAAAAGCAUCGACGUGAGGGUGUGUGUUGCCCGUACCCUAUAACCGACACAGGUGGUCAGGUAGAGAAUACUAAGGUGAUCGAGAGAAUCGUGGUUAAGGAACUCGGCAAAAUGCCCCCGUAACUUCGGGAGAAGGGGGGCCAUCCUGGUGAACAAUCCUUGCGGUUGGGAGCUGGUGGUGGUCGCAGAGGCCAGAGAGAAGCGACUGUUUAUUAAAAACACAGGUCCGUGCGAAGAUGUAAGUCGAUGUAUACGGACUGACGCCUGCCCGGUGCUGGAAGGUUAAGAGGACCCGUUAACCCUUGGGUGAAGCGGAGAAUUUAAGCCCCAGUAAACGGCGGUGGUAACUAUAACCAUCCUAAGGUAGCGAAAUUCCUUGUCGGGUAAGUUCCGACCUGCACGAAUGGCGUAACGACUUCUCUGCUGUCUCAACCACGAACUCGGCGAAAUUGCAUUACGAGUAAAGAUGCUCGUUACGCGCAGCAGGACGGAAAGACCCCGAGACCUUCACUAUAGUUUGGUAUUGGGCUUCGGUGUGGUUUGUGUAGGAUAGGUGGGAGAUGUUGAAGCCUGGUCGCCAGAUCGGGUGGAGUCGGCAAGUGAAAUACCACUCUGACCAUUCUGGAUUCCUUAACUUCGGACCCUGAUCGGGUUCAGGGACAGUGCCUGAUGGGUAGUUUAACUGGGGCGGUUGCCUCCUAAAGAGUAACGGAGGCGCCCAAAGGUUCCCUCAGCCUGGUUGGCAAUCAGGUGUCGAGUGUAAGUGCACAAGGGAGCUUGACUGUGAGACGGACGUGUCGAGCAGGAGCGAAAGCUGGGACUAGUGACCCGGCCAUGGCUUGUGGAAGCGUGGUCGCUCAACGAUAAAAGGUACCUCGGGAUACAGGUGAGCGGACCACGCUUCCACAAGCCAUGGCCGGGUCACUAGUCCCAGCUUUCGCUCCUGCUCGACACGUCCGUCUCACAGUCAAGCUCCCUUGUGCACUUACACUCGACACCUGAUUGCCAACCAGGCUGAGGGAACCUUUGGGCGCCUCCGUUACUCUUUAGGAGGCAACCGCCCCAGUUAAACUACCCAUCAGGCACUGUCCCUGAACCCGAUCAGGGUCCGAAGUUAAGGAAUCCAGAAUGGUCAGAGUGGUAUUUCACUUGCCGACUCCACCCGAUCUGGCGACCAGGCUUCAACAUCUCCCACCUAUCCUACACAAACCACACCGAAGCCCAAUACCAAACUAUAGUGAAGGUCUCGGGGUCUUUCCGUCCUGCUGCGCGUAACGAGCAUCUUUACUCGUAAUGCAAUUUCGCCGAGUUCGUGGUUGAGACAGCAGAGAAGUCGUUACGCCAUUCGUGCAGGUCGGAACUUACCCGACAAGGAAUUUCGCUA
RNAcentral lists this ribosomal RNA (3154 nucleotides) under Brevibacterium casei. RNAcentral describes it as "23S ribosomal RNA". The stretch from base 1 to 2761 matches the Rfam family "Bacterial large subunit ribosomal RNA". Lineage: Bacteria; Bacillati; Actinomycetota; Actinomycetes; Micrococcales; Brevibacteriaceae. The record is from RNAcentral.